This 299-nucleotide unclassified non-coding RNA is filed under the name uncultured Gibberella. Its description in RNAcentral is "sequence contains ITS1". The stretch from base 1 to 105 matches the Rfam family "5.8S ribosomal RNA", at positions 50 to 154 of the family's 154-position model. Lineage: Eukaryota; Fungi; Ascomycota; Sordariomycetes; Hypocreales; Nectriaceae. The record is from RNAcentral.
GAAAUGCGAUAAGUAGUGUGAAUUGCAGAAUUCCGUGAAUCAUCGAAUCUUUGAACGCACAUUGCGCCCGCCAGUAUUCUGGCGGGCAUGCCUGUUCGAGCGUCAUUUCAACCCUCAAGCCCAGCUUGGUGUUGGGACUCGCGAGUCAAAUCGCGUUCCCCAAAUUGAUUGGCGGUCACGUCGAGCUUCCAUAGCGUAGUAGUAAAACCCUCGUUACUGGUAAUCGUCGCGGCCACGCCGUUAAACCCCAACUUCUGAAUGUUGACCUCGGAUCAGGUAGGAAUACCCGCUGAACUUAA